GACGAACGCUGGCGGCGUGCUUAACACAUGCAAGUCGAACGGAAAGGCCCUGCUUUUGUGGGGUGCUCGAGUGGCGAACGGGUGAGUAACACGUGAGUAACCUGCCCUUGACUUUGGGAUAACUUCAGGAAACUGGGGCUAAUACCGGAUAGGAGCUCCUGCUGCAUGGUGGGGGUUGGAAAGUUGCGGUGGUUGGGGAUGGACUCGCGGCUUAUCAGCUUGUUGGUGGGGUAGUGGCUUACCAAGGCUUUGACGGGUAGCCGGCCUGAGAGGGUGACCGGCCACAUUGAGACUGAGAUACGGCCCAGACUCCUACGGGAGGCAGCAGUGGGGAAUAUUGCACAAUGGGCGGAAGCCUGAUGCAGCAACGCCGCGUGCGGGAUGACGGCCUUCGGGUUGUAAACCGCUUUCGCCUGUGACGAAGCGUGAGUGACGGUAAUGGGUAAAGAAGCACCGGCUAACUACGUG
This 468-nucleotide ribosomal RNA is filed under the name uncultured bacterium. Its description in RNAcentral is "partial 16S ribosomal RNA". It matches the Rfam family "Bacterial small subunit ribosomal RNA", at positions 28 to 507 of the family's 1533-position model. The record is from RNAcentral.